AAACCACGCGCUCGUUCUUCAACUUGCUCUGAACUGUCGCUCGUACUACUCCUCUGUAUUGUGGAGCUGGAUAGUCUCGACGGCGCAAACCGGUGGCAGAGGACGGGUCGGACUCGCUUGAAUCGUCUCAGAGCUGCGUCGACCUUUCGGACCUUGCGAUCGUUGUGUCGUCGUGGGAAGAUGCGUUAGAGUUGUUGGGUUGUGCUGCGUUCACGGCAGCAGCGGCGGCGGCGCUGAUAUUGUUGGGAAACGUCAUCGUCGCGGAAGCUUCGACUUCGCCUUCGGCGUUUGUACAGAACGUCAUCUACUCAACAAGAUUGCCAUCUUCUCCAAUUCCUAUUGCCCCUCCUUGCAGUGCUUGUAGCAAUUGAUGGUGUGGGUGCUUUUCUGUGGUGGGCGAGGCAGGAUAUGGUUCAAGACAGUGUAAGGCUACUUCUAUUUUUUAUCUUGCUCACUUCUUAAAGCUCAUAGUUUUCUUCAACUGUGGUAUCAAAAAUCUAUUGUUGCCUAGUGAAAACACAACCCAAGUUGUUGAGUGCCUUAAUUUCCAUCCUCUCAAUUUGAUGAUUCCCUCUACCAGUUUGGCACCUACAAGUGACUGGUAAAACCUUUUUUAUUAUUUAUGUCAGGUUCAGUUAUAUUUUUAAAAAUAUAUUAGGUCUUACAUGAUGUUUUGGCAUUUGUGGACGGUUAAUUUAUCAAUUUACAGAUCUUCUAGUGGAUAGUGUACCGUGUACCGUGUACUGAAACGCUCUAUGAUUUUUCUUUUAUUUGGAGUUGACAAUUAAGUAAUAUUGGCGUGCUCUUGAUUUCAAAAAACUGUAUCACAGGUGCUAUAUAAACAGGUAAUCUGGAUUGGUGUUGGAUAGUUUCCAUGAAUAGGCAUGUAGAAAUCUAUUGUGUUAUAAUGAGUUCAUUCUUUCCCAUGUGAGAUGUAUCAGAUAAAUGCAUGAUAUGUAUAGGAUGUUUGGAAAAGGUUUGAGUACGCAAGUGAAACUCUUUCAUGUAACAAUUCACGAACGCUUCAUCCACAUCUUGUAAUCAAGUAAUGUCAGAGUAACAUCCUGAGGGUGAUUUUCAAUUGUGAAGUUUUAUUUAUUUCU
Non-coding RNA from Prunus avium (sweet cherry), 1103 nucleotides. The record is from RefSeq and is a predicted model, not a curated record. NCBI's taxonomy places the organism in Eukaryota, Viridiplantae, Streptophyta, Magnoliopsida, Rosales, Rosaceae.